UUAAUAUUAACCAAAGGGACAGAAGGCUACAAGCCCAAACCCAAAGUGAGCUCUCAUCUAAACAGCAAGAAUCCUACGUUCCCAAUGAGCAAUGGCAGGUACUGGAUUUGAGGGGAAUCUGAAGGGUGCUGUCGGAGGAAGCUGCACACAGACACCGCCAUGGUAGGAUUUGUGUUAGGUGAGUACUUCCACCUUCCAUGCAUACUAAUUCAGAAAGAGGAACUGCAUUUCAGGCCAGCUGCUGUCCGUGGGAGCAGUUCCUGCUUCAGUUAGCUCCGGCCUGGGCGGUAGUUGGCCUGAAACAGAUACUCAACAAUCCUGGGAGGUCAUUAUUCCACUGUUGUAUCAAGCCAGCUGCUUUCGGAUGCUGGGGAAUAUGGUAAGCAGCAGAUCCCACGAGCGAGGGUCCACUGUGGCACUUCUCUGGCUGUGAAGUGAGUUCCUCGGUCAGAAGCGAUACUGCGCGGGACACCAUGACGAUGGAAGAAACAUUCUGUAAGUACACAGAUGGUGCUUUAGGCAGAAGUAUGACAUGCAGUAAAGGCAAACCGACAAUCGGAAGAAAUUAUCUACUCCAGUAAGGACAGAGCAUUGUUCUUUCCACAGAGGAAACGGUCCAAUGGAGUCAACUUGCCACCAGGCCACUGGCUGGUCACCCCAGGGAAUGGUGCCAUACUAUAUUUGGGGUUCAGUGCUGGUCUCUGCUCUUGGCAGAUCUGGCACUCAGCAGCAGCUGUAAUCAGGCCAGCCUUGGUGAGUGAGUUAUCCAUGUUGUUGAGCCCAUGCAUAACCUCCAGCUGCCACCAUGACCAUUUCGUUCAUGGGCAGCUGGACAAUGACUCAGAUGACUGGGGAGAAGGCUGGCUGUCCAAAGAAGGGGUCGUCCUAUCUACUUCCUCAGCAUUUAAGUGGCACACAAUUAUCUUACAUGCUUUGCCCAUUCAGAGAGAUCUGUCCACAUACUCCUUCCCCAGAUGUCUUGCUCACCCGUUUUCCAUUCAUGCUCUUCCCAGCCAGUCCAUUGGCUACAGCCCAUGAGUCGGCAAACAGUCGCACAUCUGGCCAUUUCCCCUUCCAAGAGAAAUGUAUAGCCAUAUGUACUGCCUAAAGUUCUGCCCACUGCGAAGGUUCCUCUUCGCUGGUGUCUUCCAGAGUUGUCCCAGAAAUGAAUGGUUUGUAAUCCUGCAGCUGUCCACUUCUGAAUGGUGCCUGCAUAGCAUGUAGAACCAUCAAUAAAACAGACCCUAGCCCUUUUUCCCCUCAGACAACCCCUGAAACUACAGGUGCAUAGUUGGAAGCAGAAGGCCCUGUAAUAGGAGUAGAACCCAUAGGUGUCAGAACAUGGUCCAAGAAUGUAGUGGGAGAUUUCUGAGUGCUUGUGAGAAAACUCCAAGAAAACAAGAGUCUUAGGACCUCAAUUUCUUUAAAAACAUGAAAUUGUUUCUUGUAUUAUGCUUUCGUGCCUCCCCCAGGCGUAGCAGAUAGGAGUGAGUCUACUUCAGUUUACUCAUUACAGCUGGGUGUUGUUAUUUGUAAACACAUGCCUCUGCGGAAGAACAUGUUAUUAGUGCAGCUUGCCCUUGUGACUUACGUGACUCUGUAUCCUUAAAGUGUGUAUUGUAUGAUGUUCUGAAUAAAGUUGGCUAUUGCAUGAGA
Non-coding RNA from Myodes glareolus (Bank vole), 1656 nucleotides. NCBI's taxonomy places the organism in Eukaryota, Metazoa, Chordata, Mammalia, Rodentia, Cricetidae. The record is from RefSeq and is a predicted model, not a curated record.